This 403-nucleotide ribosomal RNA is filed under the name Helicobacter pylori. Its description in RNAcentral is "bacterial SSU rRNA". It matches the Rfam family "Bacterial small subunit ribosomal RNA", at positions 832 to 1230 of the family's 1533-position model. Lineage: Bacteria; Pseudomonadati; Campylobacterota; Epsilonproteobacteria; Campylobacterales; Helicobacteraceae. The record is from RNAcentral.
UAGUCUCUCCAGUAAUGCAGCUAACGCAUUAAGCAUCCCGCCUGGGGAGUACGGUCGCAAGAUUAAAACUCAAAGGAAUAGACGGGGACCCGCACAAGCGGUGGAGCAUGUGGUUUAAUUCGAAGAUACACGAAGAACCUUACCUAGGCUUGACAUUGAGAGAAUCCGCUAGAAAUAGUGGAGUGUCUGGCUUGCUAGACCUUGAAAACAGGUGCUGCACGGCUGUCGUCAGCUCGUGUCGUGAGAUGUUGGGUUAAGUCCCGCAACGAGCGCAACCCCCUUUCUUAGUUGCUAACAGGUUAUGCUGAGAACUCUAAGGAUACUGCCUCCGUAAGGAGGAGGAAGGUGGGGACGACGUCAAGUCAUCAUGGCCCUUACGCCUAGGGCUACACACGUGCUACAA